GAUUCAUCUCGGGGCUCAUUGUAGCCUUUCUCUACAAUAUCUCAAAUAUCAUGUGCACCUAGGAGAGCCUUCUUCUUGAUACUCUAAUUAUCAUAGUUGCUCUUGUUGAGCAUAGGAACUUGGAAGGAUGCAACACCAUUUACCAUGGUUUUAGAAAUUUUUGGUUAGAAUCUUGUGGCUCUGAUACCACUUUGUUGGAAGAGGAUUGCUAUUAAUAUUUGGAGGGAGGCUUUUAGGCUAAGNNN
RNAcentral lists this long non-coding RNA (245 nucleotides) under Nicotiana benthamiana. RNAcentral's name for it is "long non-coding RNA (NBEN_LNC024434)". Lineage: Eukaryota; Viridiplantae; Streptophyta; Magnoliopsida; Solanales; Solanaceae. The record is from RNAcentral.